RNAcentral lists this ribosomal RNA (497 nucleotides) under uncultured bacterium. RNAcentral describes it as "partial 16S ribosomal RNA". It matches the Rfam family "Bacterial small subunit ribosomal RNA", at positions 28 to 507 of the family's 1533-position model. The record is from RNAcentral.
GACGAACGCUGGCGGCGUGCCUAAUACAUGCAAGUUGAGCGCUGAAGGUUGGUGCUUGUACCAACUGGAUGAGCAGCGAACGGGUGAGUAACGCGUGGGGAAUCUGCCUUUGAGCGGGGGACAACAUUUGGAAACGAAUGCUAAUACCGCAUAAAAACUUUAAACACAAGUUUUAAGUUUGAAAGAUGCAAUUGCAUCACUCAAAGAUGAUCCCGCGUUGUAUUAGCUAGUUGGUGAGGUAAAGGCUCACCAAGGCGAUGAUACAUAGCCCACCUGAGAGGGUGGACGGCCACAUUGGGAAUUGGACACGGCCCAAAAUCCUAAGGGAGGCAGCAGGAGGGAAUCUUCGGCAAUGGACGGAAGUCUGACCGAGCAACGCCGCGUGAGUGAAGAAGGUUUUCGGAUCCGAAAAAUCUGUUGGUAGAGAAGGACGUUGGUGGGAGUGGAAAGCGCAUCAAGUGACGGUAACUACUCAGAAAGGCACGGCUAACUACGUG